RNAcentral lists this unclassified non-coding RNA (502 nucleotides) under Hevea brasiliensis (rubber tree). Lineage: Eukaryota; Viridiplantae; Streptophyta; Magnoliopsida; Malpighiales; Euphorbiaceae. The record is from RNAcentral.
UUUUAAAAAAAAAAAAGUAAAAAACUUGAUAUGAUUAAAUUAUUUUUAUGAACAAAAAAAUUUGUGUUGUUUUUAAGUGAUGAAUUUGCAUUAUUUGUUUUUAUUGGGCAUAUUUAAUUGGUUCUCCAUGUUAUUGUGAAUAUCAUUUUCCUUCAUCAAAUUUAGUUAUUUCCAAAAACUUUUUGCAUUCGGUUUAACUAUGAUGCCUAAUUAUAUGAUUGAUAUGUAUUUUGCCUUUUCACAAUCUUAUCUAUUUGUAUGGGGGGAACAAAAAUCUCUUCCUAUCCCCUCGACUUCUUACUGUACAUGAUAUAAUUUCAGCCCAAAAAAAAAGGAAAAAAAAAAUCAACAAGAAGCUCCAUCUUUAAUUAUAUUUUUAUCAGUUGUAUCCUUGGAAUGUUGGAUCAUUUACAGAAAAAUUAAUGGAGUUUGUGGAUACCUUGGAAAGGAGAAUGGUGAAUAUUGCUUGCAUUCAGGAUACUAAAUGGGUAGGAGAGAAAAG